CCUACGGGUGGCAGCAGUGGGGAAUAUUGCACAAUGGGCGCAAGCCUGAUGCAGCCAUGCCGCGUGUGUGAAGAAGGCCUUCGGGUUGUAAAGCACUUUCAGCGGGGAGGAAGGCGGUGAGGUUAAUAACCUCAUCGAUUGACGUUACCCGCAGAAGAAGCACCGGCUAACUCCGUGCCAGCAGCCGCGGUAAUACGGAGGGUGCAAGCGUUAAUCGGAAUUACUGGGCGUAAAGCGCACGCAGGCGGUCUGUCAAGUCGGAUGUGAAAUCCCCGGGCUCAACCUGGGAACUGCAUUCGAAACUGGCAGGCUAGAGUCUUGUAGAGGGGGGUAGAAUUCCAGGUGUAGCGGUGAAAUGCAUAGAGAUCUGGAGGAAUACCGGUGGCGAAGGCGGCCCCCUGGACAAAGACUGACGCUCAGGUGCGAAAGCGUGGGGAGCAAACAGGAUUAAUACCCCAGUAGUC
RNAcentral lists this ribosomal RNA (464 nucleotides) under uncultured Klebsiella sp. RNAcentral describes it as "bacterial SSU rRNA". It matches the Rfam family "Bacterial small subunit ribosomal RNA", at positions 338 to 795 of the family's 1533-position model. Lineage: Bacteria; Pseudomonadati; Pseudomonadota; Gammaproteobacteria; Enterobacterales; Enterobacteriaceae. The record is from RNAcentral.